CAGUAGCCGCGGGAACACGUAGGGUGCGAGCGUUGUCCGGAAUUAUUGGGCGUAAAGAGCUCGUAGGCGGCUUGUCGCGUCGGAUGUGAAAGCCCGGGGCUUAACUCCGGGUCUGCAUUCGAUACGGGCAGGCUAGAGUGUGGUAGGGGAGAUCGGAAUUCCUGGUGUAGCGGUGAAAUGCGCAGAUAUCAGGAGGAACACCGGUGGCGAAGGCGGAUCUCUGGGCCAUUACUGACGCUGAGGAGCGAAAGCGUGGGGAGCGAACAGGAUUAGAUACCCCCGUAGUCCCUGUCUCUUAUAC
RNAcentral lists this ribosomal RNA (301 nucleotides) under uncultured bacterium. RNAcentral describes it as "partial 16S ribosomal RNA". It matches the Rfam family "Bacterial small subunit ribosomal RNA", at positions 509 to 807 of the family's 1533-position model. The record is from RNAcentral.